Small nuclear RNA from Neogale vison (American mink), 183 nucleotides. RefSeq annotates it as U2 spliceosomal RNA. The transcript has a single exon. NCBI's taxonomy places the organism in Eukaryota, Metazoa, Chordata, Mammalia, Carnivora, Mustelidae. The record is from RefSeq and is a predicted model, not a curated record.
AUUGUUUCUCGGCCUUUUGGCUAAGAUCAAGUGUAAUAUUUAUUUUCUUAAAGAAUUCAAAACAGUGGGACGCCUGGGUGGCUCAGUUGGUUAAGUGGCUGCCUUAGGCUCAGGUCAUGAUCCCAGAGUCCUGGGAUUGAGUCCCACAUCGGGCUCCUUGCUCAGCAGGGAGCCUGCUUCUCC